GGGCCCAUAGCUCAGCUGGUUAGAGCAACUGACUCAUAAUCAGUAGGUCGCAGGUUCAAGUCCUGCUGGGCCCACAA
This 77-nucleotide transfer RNA is filed under the name Bacteroidota bacterium. RNAcentral describes it as "Bacteroidetes bacterium tRNA-Met". It matches the Rfam family "tRNA". From Rfam's summary of the family: Transfer RNA (tRNA) molecules are approximately 80 nucleotides in length. Their secondary structure includes four short double-helical elements and three loops (D, anti-codon, and T loops). Further hydrogen bonds mediate the characteristic L-shaped molecular structure. tRNAs have two regions of fundamental functional importance: the anti-codon, which is responsible for specific mRNA codon recognition, and the 3' end, to which the tRNAs corresponding amino acid is attached (by aminoacyl-tRNA synthetases). tRNAs cope with the degeneracy of the genetic code in two manners: having more than one tRNA (with a specific anti-codon) for a particular amino acid; and 'wobble' base-pairing, i.e. permitting non-standard base-pairing at the 3rd anti-codon position. Lineage: Bacteria; Pseudomonadati; Bacteroidota. The record is from RNAcentral.